AGAGUCUGAUCAUGGCUCAGGACGAACGCUGGCGGCGUGCUUAACACAUGCAAGUCGAACGAGGUCCAUCCAGUGGAAACACCGGAGAAGACCUAGUGGCGAACGGGUGAGUAACACGUGAGCAACCUGCCCCGAAGACCGGGAUAACAGCGGGAAACCGCUGCUAAUACCGGAUGCCCCCAUCGGACCACAUGGCCUGA
This 200-nucleotide ribosomal RNA is filed under the name uncultured bacterium. RNAcentral describes it as "partial 16S ribosomal RNA". It matches the Rfam family "Bacterial small subunit ribosomal RNA", at positions 8 to 198 of the family's 1533-position model. The record is from RNAcentral.